UCCCUGGUGGUCCAGUGGUUAGGACUCUGAGCUUUCACUGCUGAGUAUGCUGGUUCAAUCCCUGGCCAGGGAA
Molecule: transfer RNA, 73 nt
Filed under: Ovis aries (sheep)
Lineage: Eukaryota; Metazoa; Chordata; Mammalia; Artiodactyla; Bovidae
Rfam family: tRNA
About the family: Transfer RNA (tRNA) molecules are approximately 80 nucleotides in length. Their secondary structure includes four short double-helical elements and three loops (D, anti-codon, and T loops).
Source: Rfam by way of RNAcentral